GACGUUCUGAGCAACCCCUCUCUUCAUCAUCUAAAAGACACCAUGCCCGUUGCGCCCCAGUACUACCACGCGCAUGCGGUGGAUGCCACCAUUCAGCACGAGAAGGCGUACCAGCGCCAGACGGCGGUGAAUGAGAACAUGCACCGCCCAAGCCGCAAGCACGUCAACAAGUCCGGCCACAUCCGCUAUUCCAAGAAGAUCGGUCUGGGCUUCAAGACCCCGGCGAAGGCGCUGAACGGCAAGUACAUCGAUCGCAAGUGCCCCUUCACGAGCAACGUGGUGAUCCGCGGCCGCAUCCUGCGCGGCGUUGUGCACUCCACCAAGAUGCACCGCACCAUCAUCAUCCGCCGCAACUACCUGCACUUCAUCAAGAAGUACCAGCGUUACCAGAAGCGCCACAAGUCCCUGGCCGUGCACUGCAGCCCCGCCUUCGACCCGAAGCAAGGUGAUGAGGUCGUCAUUGGCCAGUGCCGCCCGCUGAGCAAGACGAUCCGCUACAACGUCUUGGAGGUGGUGUCGAAGAGCUCUGCCGACAAGAUGGGCAAGAAGUUCGCCAAGAACUAAGCAGAAGGUGCGCUGCUGCUUUUGCUGUUCAUGUCGUGGCGCUCGCGUGGCGUGCAUGGCGUACUUGGCAUGUGCUUGCGUAUCCAUUCGCAUAGCGCCAUCACGGGUUCGUCGUCCAUUUAGUCGCGCCCUCUCUCCCGCCCUGCGUGAUUCCUUCCGUCUGUCUCUCGCUCUUCCUCUCCCUAUCCCCCACACACACAUACAUAUACACAUAAAUACCGAAACACGCGCAUGCGCGCAUCAUUGCUCCAUGCUGUCAUGUCUCGUGUGUGUAUGCGUGUGUGCGUUCCCUGCAGCAUGGCGAUAGUGGUGAGCGAGGGAGGGGGGCUAGUGAUGGGUGAUUAGUGGCGAGGGGGUGGGACAAGGUGGCAGGCCAAGGGAAGAGGGGGUGACGGCGUCUCUUCACUUUCUAUCAUUCUUUUCUGUACUUUCUCAGUUCAGCAACCCAAUC
Molecule: unclassified non-coding RNA, 1015 nt
Filed under: Leishmania donovani
Lineage: Eukaryota; Euglenozoa; Kinetoplastea; Trypanosomatida; Trypanosomatidae
Description: gene:LdHU3.21.2120(CDS-product:40S_ribosomal_prot ein_S11_putative)
Source: RNAcentral